RNAcentral lists this ribosomal RNA (406 nucleotides) under uncultured bacterium. RNAcentral's name for it is "partial 16S ribosomal RNA". It matches the Rfam family "Bacterial small subunit ribosomal RNA", at positions 28 to 526 of the family's 1533-position model. The record is from RNAcentral.
GAUGAACGCUAGCUACAGGCUUAACACAUGCAAGUCGAGGGACCGGCGCACGGGUGAGUAACACGUAUCCAACCUGCCCUUUACUCGGGGAUAGCCUUUCGAAAGAAAGAUUAAUACCCGAUAUAAAGGAUGGGGAUGCGUUCCAUUAGGUUGUUGGUGAGGUAACGGCCCACCAAGCCUUCGAUGGAUAGGGGUUCGGAGAGGCAGGUCCCCCACAUUGGAACUGAGACACGGUCCAAACUCCGAGGGGAGGCAGCAGUGUGUAGUAGUUGUCAAGCGGCGUUAGCCUGAACCAGCCAAGUAGCUGGAAGGAUGAAUGCUUAUGGGUCGUAAACUUCUUUUAUAUAAGAAUAUGUAUUAUAUGAAUAAGGAUCGGCUAACUCCGUGCCAGCAGCCGCGGUAAUUC